CCUACGGGCGGCAGCAGUGAGGAAUAUUGGUCAAUGGGCUGACGCCUGAACCAGCCAAGUCGCGUGAGGGAAGACUGUCCUAUGGGUUGUAAACCUCUUUUGUCAGGGAGCAACGCCGGCUACGCGUAGCCGGACUGAGAGUACCUGAAGAAAAAGCAUCGGCUAACUCCGGGCCAGCAGCCGCGGUAAUACGGAGGAUGCGAGCGUUAUCCGGAUUUAUUGGGUUUAAAGGGUGCGUAGGCGGACUGCCAAGUCAGCGGUAAAAUCGCGGGGCUCAACCCCGCUCCGCCGUUGAAACUGGCGGUCUUGAGUGGGCGAGAAGUAUGCGGAAUGCGUGGUGUAGCGGUGAAAUGCAGAGAUAUCACGCAGAACUCCGAUUGCGAAGGCAGCAUACCGGCGCCCAACUGACGCUGAGGCACGAAAGCGUGGGUAUCGAACAGGAUUAGAUACCCUUGUAGUC
Molecule: ribosomal RNA, 460 nt
Filed under: uncultured bacterium
Lineage: Bacteria
Description: partial 16S ribosomal RNA
Rfam family: Bacterial small subunit ribosomal RNA
Source: RNAcentral